GAUGAACGCUAGCUACAGACUUAACACAUGCAAGUCGAGGGGCAGCAUGGCGGAAGCUUGCUUCCGCUGAUGGCGACCGGCGCACGGGUGAGUAACGCGUAUCCAACCUUCCCCCUGGUAGGGCAUAGCCCGUAGAAAUGCGGAUUAACACCCUAUGUUGUGCAUUGAGGACAUCUGAGGAGCACUAAAGUUUGACGCCAUGGGAUGGGGAUGCGUCCGAUUAGCUUGACGGCGGGGUAACGGCCCACCGUGGCUACGAUCGGUAGGGGUUCUGAGAGGAAGGUCCCCCACACUGGAACUGAGACACGGUCCAGACUCC
This 319-nucleotide ribosomal RNA is filed under the name uncultured Prevotella sp. RNAcentral's name for it is "bacterial SSU rRNA". It matches the Rfam family "Bacterial small subunit ribosomal RNA", at positions 28 to 339 of the family's 1533-position model. The record is from RNAcentral. Lineage: Bacteria; Pseudomonadati; Bacteroidota; Bacteroidia; Bacteroidales; Prevotellaceae.